Molecule: transfer RNA, 83 nt
Filed under: Prevotella intermedia
Lineage: Bacteria; Pseudomonadati; Bacteroidota; Bacteroidia; Bacteroidales; Prevotellaceae
Also listed under: 3 other names
Description: tRNA-Leu
Rfam family: tRNA
About the family: Transfer RNA (tRNA) molecules are approximately 80 nucleotides in length.
Source: RNAcentral
GCCCAGGUGGCGGAAUUGGUAGACGCGCACGUUUCAGGUGCGUGUGUUUAUACGUGCAGGUUCGAGUCCUGUUCUGGGCACUA